UAAGAUAUUUCUUCUCUCUUCCUCUCUAGCUCACGUCUUCUCUACCUCUCCUCACCCAAUCCACCAAAAAUCAUUAAUUCUUCAUGAAAUCAUCACGAAAAUUGUUUAAGAGUGUCCCUUGUAGUGAUUAGACCAAGAAGUUCAAGGUUUGAAGUGGAAUCUCAAGUGGGAAGCUUAUUCCAGUAAGAGUUUAUUUCAAACAAGGUUAAUUAUAGAUGCCCUUAUGGUUGAGCAUGAAGUUGGUUGAGGUUUGAAAUGCAAAAUUAAGACGAGCCUAUGCCAUUUUAAAGGAUUAAAGGUGAGUUCCUUUAGCUUAGAACCCACCUUUGGGAAUGGAUUAUGAUUAUGUUAGAUUAAUGAGAUAAUAUGAAUAAUUAGGCCAUUUUUAUGAUUUCUUGUCUUUUGUGCAAGCAUGACUACUAUGCCAUAUGAAUGAUACAUUUGAAACAUAAUAGAUAUGAGAUAGUAGAAUGAUUAUUUCUGAACUAGGUACAAUUAUUAGUUAUUCUAAAAUCUCUUUUAUGUUAAUAAGUAUGUUUAUGUUAGCAUAAUUGUUGGAGGGAAAUUUUAUCAA
Molecule: long non-coding RNA, 574 nt
Organism: Medicago truncatula (barrel medic)
Lineage: Eukaryota; Viridiplantae; Streptophyta; Magnoliopsida; Fabales; Fabaceae
Exons: 2
Source: RefSeq, a predicted model, not a curated record